RNAcentral lists this transfer RNA (62 nucleotides) under Scaphoideus maai. RNAcentral's name for it is "tRNA-Phe". Lineage: Eukaryota; Metazoa; Arthropoda; Insecta; Hemiptera; Cicadellidae. The record is from RNAcentral.
AUUUCUGUAGCUUAUAUAAGAGUAUACUAUUGAAGCUAGUAAGGAAACAUUGUUUAGAAAUA